AAAGGCACCUGAAGGACAAUGAGAAACAAAAUUCUCUGGUCUCAUGAGACAAAGAUUGAACUUCUUGCCUGAAUGCCAGGUGUUAUGUUCAGAGGAAACCACGCACCAUCCCUACAGUGAAGCAUGGUGGUGGCAGCAUCAUGCUUGAUUGGACAUGA
Long non-coding RNA from Thalassophryne amazonica, 158 nucleotides. RefSeq lists it as uncharacterized. NCBI's taxonomy places the organism in Eukaryota, Metazoa, Chordata, Actinopteri, Batrachoidiformes, Batrachoididae. The transcript has 3 exons. The record is from RefSeq and is a predicted model, not a curated record.